AGAGUUUGAUUCUGGCUCAGAUUGAACGCUGGCGGCAGGCCUAACACAUGCAAGUCGAACGGCAGCACAGAAGAGCUUGCUCUUUGGGUGGCGAGUGGCGGACGGGUGAGUAAUGUCUGGGAAACUGCCCGAUGGAGGGGGAUAACUACUGGAAACGGUAGCUAAUACCGCAUAACGUCGCGAGACCAAAGUGGGGGACCUUCGGGCCUCACACCAUCGGAUGUGCCCAGAUGGGAUUAGCUAGUAGGUGGGGUAAUGGCUCACCUAGGCGACGAUCCCUAGCUGGUCUGAGAGGAUGACCAGCCACACUGGAACUGAGACACGGUCCAGACUCCUACGGGAGGCAGCAGUGGGGAAUAUUGCACAAUGGGCGCAAGCCUGAUGCAGCCAUGCCGCGUGUAUGAAGAAGGCCUUCGGGUUGUAAAGUACUUUCAGCGGGGAGGAAGGCGGUGAGGUUAAUAACCUUGCCGAUUGACGUUACCCGCAGAAGAAGCACCGGCUAACUCCGUGCCAGCAGCCGCGGUAAUACGGAGGGUGCAAGCGUUAAUCGGAAUUACUGGGCGUAAAGCGCACGCAGGCGGUCUGUUAAGUCAGAUGUGAAAUCCCCGGGCUUAACCUGGGAACUGCAUUUGAAACUGGCAGGCUUGAGUCUCGUAGAGGGGGGUAGAAUUCCAGGUGUAGCGGUGAAAUGCGUAGAGAUCUGGAGGAAUACCGGUGGCGAAGGCGGCCCCCUGGACGAAGACUGACGCUCAGGUGCGAAAGCGUGGGGAGCAAACAGGAUUAGAUACCCUGGUAGUCCACGCCGUAAACGAUGUCGACUUGGAGGUUGUGCCCUUGAGGCGUGGCUUCCGGAGCUAACGCGUUAAGUCGACCCGCAAGGUUAAAACUCAAAUGAAUUGACGGGGGCCCGCACAAGCGGUGGAGCAUGUGGUUUAAUUCGAUGCAACGCGAAGAACCUUACCUGGCCUUGACAUCCAGAGAACUUAGCAGAGAUGCUUUGGUGCCUUCGGGAACUCUGAGACAGGUGCUGCAUGGCUGUCGUCAGCUCGUGUUGUGAAAUGUUGGGUUAAGUCCCGCAACGAGCGCAACCCUUAUCCUUUGUUGCCAGCGGUUCGGCCGGGAACUCAAAGGAGACUGCCGGUGAUAAACCGGAGGAAGGUGGGGAUGACGUCAAGGUUCAUGG
Molecule: ribosomal RNA, 1183 nt
Filed under: Pantoea dispersa
Lineage: Bacteria; Pseudomonadati; Pseudomonadota; Gammaproteobacteria; Enterobacterales; Erwiniaceae
Description: bacterial SSU rRNA
Rfam family: Bacterial small subunit ribosomal RNA
Source: RNAcentral